RNAcentral lists this ribosomal RNA (253 nucleotides) under uncultured bacterium. RNAcentral describes it as "partial 16S ribosomal RNA". It matches the Rfam family "Bacterial small subunit ribosomal RNA", at positions 524 to 776 of the family's 1533-position model. The record is from RNAcentral.
UACGGAGGGUGCAAGCGUUGUUCGGAAUCACUGGGCGUAAAGGGCGUGUAGGCGGUCCGGUAAGUCUGACGUGAAAGCCCGGGGCUCACCCCCGGAAGGGCAUUGGAAACUGGCGGACUCGAGUCCCGGAGAGGAAGGUGGAAUUCCUGGUGUAGCGGUGAAAUGCGUAGAUAUCUGGAGGAAUACCGGUGGCGAAGGCGGCAUCCUGGACCGGCAUUGACGCUGAGGCGCGAAAGCGUGGGGAGCAAACAGG